Molecule: non-coding RNA, 71 nt
Organism: Podarcis lilfordi (Lilford's wall lizard)
Lineage: Eukaryota; Metazoa; Chordata; Lepidosauria; Squamata; Lacertidae
Source: the annotation of a GenBank genome assembly
GGGCCAUAGCUCAGUGACUGAAAAUCUGCUUUACAUGCAGAAGGUCUUAGGUUCAACCCCUGGCAUCUCCA